Molecule: ribosomal RNA, 839 nt
Filed under: uncultured archaeon
Lineage: Archaea
Description: bacterial SSU rRNA
Rfam family: Archaeal small subunit ribosomal RNA
Source: RNAcentral
UCCUGCCAGAGGCCAUUGCUAUCAGGGUUUGACUAAGCCAUGCGAGUCGAGAGGUGUAAGACCUCGGCAUACUGCUCAGUAACACGUGGUUAACCUGCCCUAAGGUGGAGAAUACUCCCGGGAAACUGGGGCUAAUGCUCCAUAGUGGAUAUGUCCUGGAAUGGUAUAUCCUCGAAAGAUCCGUCGCCUUAGGAUGGGACUGCGUCCGAUUAGGUUGUUGGCGGGGUAACGGCCCACCAAGCCAUUGAUCGGUACGGGUUGUGGGAGCAAGAUCCCGGAGAUGGAUUCUGAGACAUGAAUCCAGGCCCUACGGGGCGCAGCAGGCGCGCAAACUUUACAAUGCGAGCAAUCGUGAUAAGGAAACCCUGAGUGCCUGUCGAUGCAGGCUGUUCAUAUAUCUAAAUCAUAUGUGAAGAAAGGGCAGGGCAAGACCGGUGCCAGCCGCCGCGGUAAUACCGGCUGCUCGAGUGAUGGCCACUAUUACUGGGUUUAAAGCGUCCGUAGCUUGACUGUUAGGUCUCUUGGGAAAUCUUCACGCUCAACGUGAAGGCGUCUAAGAGAUACCGGCAGUCUUGGAACUGGGAGAGGUAAACCGUACUUCGGGGGUAGGAGUGAAAUCUUGUAAUCCUCGAGGGACGACCUAUGGCGAAGGCAGUUUACCAGAACAGCUUCGACAGUGAGGGACGAAAGCUGGGGGAGCAAACGGGAUUAGAUACCCCGGUAGUCCCAGCCGUAAACAAUGUGCGUUAGGUGUGUCGGUAACCACGUGUUACUGAUGCGCCGAAGAGAAAUCGUGAACCGCACCACCUGGGAAGUACGGUCGCAAGGCUGAAACUUAA